Molecule: non-coding RNA, 526 nt
Organism: Marmota flaviventris (yellow-bellied marmot)
Lineage: Eukaryota; Metazoa; Chordata; Mammalia; Rodentia; Sciuridae
Source: RefSeq, a predicted model, not a curated record
UUCGAGGCUACUGUCAAUGUGUUAAGGCUUAAUUCCUCCUGUGAUUGCAGAGAAGUUACUGAAAGUGAAAAGGAAACUAAUACUCUUCUCCAUCCCAGGAGAAGAGAGAUUUUAUUAGAGGGUAGUGAAAUAUUUAUAAGAACAUUAGAGCAUGUGGGACUCAAGAACUGAAUUCACCUCAAACCUUCAUUUGCAUACUUGCUACCAGCGAAAUCUAUUAUGGGAUGGCCUGGAUAUGUCACUUUGGAAAUACUGCAUGUAAUGAACAUCGAGAAAAGACUGGGGCAGAGAGGAUAGAAGAGAACAGGAUCUCAUGGUGCAGGAGCAGAAGGUGUCACCAGCUCAUCUCAGCUCUUUCUGUCUGCUUCCCUUACCAACUAGAAUGGCAAUUUCUUGAGAACCACCACCAAGUCCUUGCAUGUGGUUUCCUUAGCCAUCCCUACCGUAAGGGAGCUGGGAAUGCUGUCUUUUAGCCAGGCACAUCGCCACUUUGGAGUUGUUUUACGGAGGAGAAAAGAAGCAGAGU